Molecule: small nucleolar RNA, 101 nt
Filed under: Helianthus annuus (common sunflower)
Lineage: Eukaryota; Viridiplantae; Streptophyta; Magnoliopsida; Asterales; Asteraceae
Description: sRNA HanXRQr2_Chr02g0059501
Rfam family: Plant small nucleolar RNA R71
About the family: R71 is a member of the C/D box family of snoRNAs containing the C (UGAUGA) and D (CUGA) box motifs. Multiple nearly identical copies of this snoRNA have been identified in Arabidopsis, and it is thought to function as a 2'-O-ribose methylation guide for 18S ribosomal RNA.
Source: Rfam by way of RNAcentral
AUACCAUGAUGAGGACAGUUUUUAAUCAUCAUGUUAAAACGUUCAAAUGCCUCAUGAAAAAUUUCCCCCGAUUAUUGUUGAAAACUUCUCAAACUCCGUCU